GAAGGUAGUCUUGCCUGCCAAGGCUCCUAGCUGCCUGAUUUUUCCAAUUUCUCCUAGGAAUCCUGCUGUACCUUUUCCCUCAGGAAGAACUGGCUGACUGGAGGUGGGCUGUCUGGUUCCAACAGCUUUGAUUUCACAGAAGACAUGGAGUACUGUAACUUUUCUUCACUUUUCAAAGAAAAGCCACUGUAAUUUCAUCUGAAACCAGCAUGGGUUUGGCAGUCCAGCCAGUUAUCAGUCCGAAUGUUUGAAGCGGGGAGUCUCUUCUUGGCAGCAAAGCAGGUCUUAUAAAAAUAUCACAGUGUAUAUGCAAGUAACAAUCCAACAAUUUCAGUCACUUUGUAAUGACUGUUUAGAGAGCUCUUAGAUAUGGGUUGUUAAUGAAGUUGGUGUUCACAACAGAUUUCAUUCCUUAAAAGAGAGAAGAAAAACAGAGAACCCAAAGGAGACUCCUCAUCACAACUGCAUUUUGAAUAGCUGAGAACCAAAAAUGAAUGUGCUCCUUCUCCUCGAAUUCAUUAACAAAGCUUCACGCGCUUCAGUGGAACUGUGGAAGGUGUGCAGCAGUAAGGAUAUGAUGUCAGAUGGCCACGCAGACAAGCCCUGUCAUUGCAUAUAAUCUGGAUGGCACAGAGAAGUCCUCCUCAAAAAGCAGAUUGCAGAGUGCUCCUGUUGCUUGAAGACUUGCUUGUGCCCAGUGGCAGGAACAACAGAAUCUCCUGAGGAAACAGCUUUUCAACCCAUUGUGCCACCUGUAGCCUCAGAGGAAAGAUGUGCAGUGCUAUGUUUGGGAGCUGUAUGACACCCCAAAUAUAACAGAAGAGUGCACCUUGCUUGGAGACUGUAUUUAUUGUGACCACGUAAUAUCGUAAUGGAAAUAUGUAAUGGAAAUCCAGGUAAAGUUCUAUCAACUGAAAAAUGUCUUUCUGGCCAGGAACAAAAUGAGAAAGGUGCCAUCUGCAAUAUUCAGAAAAAUGCCUUAUUAUCCAAAUACUAAUAAAGAAAAGGCUGCCAUGUCACCAA
Molecule: long non-coding RNA, 1023 nt
Organism: Pipra filicauda (Wire-tailed manakin)
Lineage: Eukaryota; Metazoa; Chordata; Aves; Passeriformes; Pipridae
Exons: 4
Source: RefSeq, a predicted model, not a curated record